Molecule: ribosomal RNA, 468 nt
Filed under: uncultured bacterium
Lineage: Bacteria
Description: partial 16S ribosomal RNA
Rfam family: Bacterial small subunit ribosomal RNA
Source: RNAcentral
GACGAACGCUGGCGGCGUGCUUAACACAUGCAAGUCGAACGGAAAGGCCCUGCUUUUGUGGGGUGCUCGAGUGGCGAACGGGUGAGUAACACGUGAGUAACCUGCCCUUGACUUUGGGAUAACUUCAGGAAACUGGGGCUAAUACCGGAUAGGAGCUCCUGCUGCAUUGUGGGGGUUGGAAAGUUUCGGCGGUUGGGGAUGGACUCGCGGCUUAUCAGCUUGUUGGUGGGGUAGUGGCUUACCAAGGCUUUGACGGGUAGCCGGCCUGAGAGGGUGACCGGGCAAAUGGGGACUGAGAUACGGCACAGACUCCUACGGGAGACAGCAGUAGGGAAUAUUGCACAAUGGGCGGAAGCCUGAUGCAGCAACGCCGCGUGCGGGAUGACGGCCUGCGGGUUGUAAACCGCUUUCGCCUGUGACGAAGCGUGAGUGACGGUAAUGGGUAAAGAAGCACCGGCUAACUACGUG